CAAUGGGGUUGUUACCAUGCCCGAGGCCUUUAAAUAUUAAUUAUUCACUUGUUCGCCUCCUGCUUUGCUCUUCGUUCAGUCCAGUGCCGUAAGCCUCAACCCCACAUAGCGAUUUUCAGGAAAACCGAAGGAACGAAAAAUAUUAAACUUUUAAAAUCGUGUAAACAUUUUACCUCGUUUCAUGGUUUUCUUAUUUCCCUCUAUCUUUCCCGGAAACUAAACGGGGAUCUACGCGUAUUUAGAAACCUGCAAAACUUGGUCGCAGCACAACACACCAAUAUUUUCAAACACAAGCAAUGGAAGAUUCUGGAAAUGGCCAAACUGAUGUUAUUUACUCACAUUCAAGUGACACAAUGGUGGACUCUAGGCCACACGUAAUGCGAUUACACAGCCAAACUGAAUUGUGAUAAGAGAAAAAAAGAUGUCCAUGGCAUUUUAGAGGAGCCAAACCCUCUCAUCCCAGUUACAAAUUUCCUCAUUCAGCUUCUGCCCCUUUCCUCUCUUUCAUGCCUUUUUCUAUUUUCUCUUUGUGCCUCCACUCUCCUGGCUCCCUUUUUUCUCCCACCAGCCCUUCUUGUCCUUCUGCUGUAACAGAUUUUCCACCUCACCACAUGCUAAUGUUCCUCUGUUUGGACCUUUAUGUUUCCUUUUGUAGACCUUGGUGAUAAUAUGCCUAUAUUAAUGUUACUGAACCAGUAACAUUGCUUGACUUUUUUUGGAAUAGAAGAAAUCCUUUUAUUUGAUUUGAGUGACUCUCGGCGGCGGUGUAACCUACUAUUUGGAAUUUUAUCUUUUUUGUUAUUAUUUAGUUAUUCAUCCAAAUGAAGGUUCACUAUGUCCUUUCUAGUUAAUACUAUUUGUAUGUUUUAAGUUGUAGUCAAGUAUUUCAUAUGUGGUUUGAUGGAUGAGCAAUUUGCUCUCAAAGUCAAAUUUCAGCGAUGGAAUGGGAUAAUUGCGAAAAUAUGAUCCAUAUGAAGACUGUUAAAGUUUAGUUUGUAAUGUGUUUGUUUCUAAGCACAUUCCUCUACUAAUGUCAAGCAUCAUGCUAUUUAUUUUUAUACAAAAUUUUCCAUGUCUUGUUGUCUACUGGCUUGUUCUUCUAAAGAAAACUGAAAAAAGAAAGAGAUUUGCUAUUAUCUCUCUAGUUCUUGGCAUAUGUUAACAUUACCAUUUAACUUUUAAGAGAAUUAGAGUUUGGUCUUGUUCAUCUGUUUGUUAGAUGUAGAAAGAAGUAAUGAAAUCGUCUGAUAUCAUAGAGUUUUUGGACUAUGAAGUUUAUGAAAUCAAGAUAUGUUUUUGCAUCCUGCCUUUGGAGUUAUCAUAAGAGUGAAACAUCCCUAAAACUAAUGGUAAAAAGUUUUUUCUAUCAUGUUACACUGUCUGAAAAGCUUUUCAUUUCACAUUCUACAGAAAAGGCUUAUGUUUUCCCAUGUCAAUUGGAUGGUUUAUGCCUGUUGUAUUUAACAUUUAUUUCUUGGCUAGGAAAAAGAAGGCUUACAUUUUCUGUCCAAUUAUUUUUGAUUGGUUGAUAGUAUAUAACAAGGGAGUUAGGCAUAGUCUGUAUAACACAAUUUUGCUACCCUUUCCUCUCCUUUUUUAUCAAUAAUUUUGCAUUUUGAUCUACUGGCAUUUAUUAUUCAAAGGUUCUAUUGUAAACAUUUUCCUCUUAUUUAUUCUUUGAGUUAGUAAAUAUGGUUUAAGCCUGUGCUGAAGGCAGCUCAAUCUGUUUUCUAUUUGCAAAACAGAGAUGGUUAUUCCUCCACCUGUUAGACCACCAAAAAUCACCAAGUUCCUCAAGCCCUAUGUCCUGAAGAUGCACUUCA
Molecule: RNA transcript, 1823 nt
Organism: Mangifera indica (mango)
Lineage: Eukaryota; Viridiplantae; Streptophyta; Magnoliopsida; Sapindales; Anacardiaceae
Gene name: 50S ribosomal protein L18
Exons: 3
Source: RefSeq, a predicted model, not a curated record